AUACGGGGGGCGCAAGCGUUGUUCGGAAUCAUUGGGCGUAAAGCGCGUGUAGGCGGCUUGGUAAGUCGGGUGUGAAAUCCCGGGGCUCAACCCCGGAACUGCAUUCGAAACUGCCUCGCUUGAGUCCCGGAGAGGAAGGCGGAAUUCCCGGUGUAGAGGUGAAAUUCGUAGAUAUCGGGAGGAACACCAGUGGCGAAGGCGGCCUUCUGGACGGUGACUGACGCUGAGGUGCGAAAGCGUGGGGAGCAAACAGGAUUAGAAACCCUAGUAGUCC
This 274-nucleotide ribosomal RNA is filed under the name uncultured bacterium. RNAcentral's name for it is "partial 16S ribosomal RNA". It matches the Rfam family "Bacterial small subunit ribosomal RNA", at positions 523 to 796 of the family's 1533-position model. The record is from RNAcentral.